UCCCCUCUAUGACCCUCCCCACAUUCUCCACCUUCUCCCCACUCUCUCUCCCUGAUGUCUCCCAACUCUUGCUCUCCCACCGUCCCACCACCUGUGCCCUUGAUCCCCUCCCCUCUACCCUCCUCCAGCUGAUCUCACCAGAGAUUAUCCCCUUCAUUGCCCACCUGAUUAACUCCUCCCUGACUUCUGGCACCUUCCCGUCAUCUUUCAAAAGAGCCCACAUCACCCCCAUUCUGAAGAAACCAACACUGGACCCCUGCCUCACCCAGAACUACAGACCGACACUCAGGUCUCCGAUCGCAUAUCCGCCUGCCUGAGUGACAUCCAGAGCUGGAUGACCAAACACCAGCUCAUGCUCAACACAAGCAAAACGGAACUUCUCCAUAUUCCUUCUCUUACCUCUCCCACUUCUCAUCUGCCCAUUUCUUUAGGAGUCACUCCCCUACACCCUUCGCAGAGUGCCCGAAAUCUUGGAGUUGUGCUGGACAACAGGCUGGCACUCUCUGAGAAUAUCGCGGCAACCACCCGGUCGUGCAGGUUCAUCCUGUACAAUAUCCGCAGAAUAAGACCACUCCUCACCAAUUAUUCCACACAGCUCCUGGUCCAGGCCAUGAUACUGUCACGUCUGGACUACUGCAACUCCCUCCUGGCUGGCCUCCCAGCAUCAGCCACCAGACCCCUCCAGCUCAUCCAGAAUGCAGCAGCACGUCUGGUUUACAACCUCCCUCGUGACUCCCACGUCACUCCCCUCCUCAUCUCCCUCCACUGGCUACCAGUGCAAGCUCGCAUCCGGUUUAAGACACUGGUGCUUGCUUUCCAAGCAGUCAAGGGGUCAGCUCCUGGUUAUCUGCAGAAGAUGAUCAGACCCUACAAGCCAGCCAGAUCGCUCCGAUCGGCUACUACAGGGCGGCUGAUUCCUCCCCCUACACGAGCAGCAACAAGGUCUCGACUCUUUGCA
Anguilla rostrata (American eel) is the source of this 958-nucleotide long non-coding RNA. RefSeq lists it as uncharacterized. The transcript is spliced from 2 exons. The record is from RefSeq and is a predicted model, not a curated record. NCBI's taxonomy places the organism in Eukaryota, Metazoa, Chordata, Actinopteri, Anguilliformes, Anguillidae.